AUUGAACGCUGGCGGCAUGCCUUACACAUGCAAGUCGAACGGCAGCACGGGUGCUUGCACCUGGUGGCGAGUGGCGGACGGGUGAGUAAUACAUCGGAACGUACCUUAUCGUGGGGGAUAACGCAGCGAAAGCUGUGCUAAUACCGCAUACGCCCUGAGGGGGAAAGCGGGGGAUCGCAAGACCUCGCGCGAUUAGAGCGGCCGAUGCCUGAUUAGCUAGUUGGUGGGGUAAAAGCCCACCAAGGCGACGAUCAGUAGCUGGUCUGAGAGGACGAUCAGCCACACUGGGACUGAGACACGGCCCAGACUCCUACGGGAGGCAGCAGUGGGGAAUUUUGGACAAUGGGGGCAACCCUGAUCCAGCAAUGCCGCGUGAGUGAAGAAGGCCUUCGGGUUGUAAAGCUCUUUUGUCAGGGAAGAAACACCGGCUCUAACACAGUCCGGGAAUGACGGUACCUGAAGAAUAAGCACCGGCUAACUACGUG
This 485-nucleotide ribosomal RNA is filed under the name uncultured bacterium. Its description in RNAcentral is "bacterial SSU rRNA". It matches the Rfam family "Bacterial small subunit ribosomal RNA", at positions 29 to 507 of the family's 1533-position model. The record is from RNAcentral.